UUACUCCUACGGGAGGCAGCAGUGAGGAAUAUUGGUCAAUGGACGCAAGUCUGAACCAGCCAUGCCGCGUGCAGGAAGACGGCUCUAUGAGUUGUAAACUGCUUUUGUACAAGGGUAAACCCUGGGACGUGUCCCAGGCUG
RNAcentral lists this ribosomal RNA (141 nucleotides) under uncultured bacterium. RNAcentral's name for it is "partial 16S ribosomal RNA". It matches the Rfam family "Bacterial small subunit ribosomal RNA", at positions 333 to 471 of the family's 1533-position model. The record is from RNAcentral.